AGUGAACGCUGGCGGUAGGCCUAACACAUGCAAGUCGAACGGCAGCACAGUAAGAGCUUGCUCUUACGGGUGGCGAGUGGCGGACGGGUGAGGAAUACAUCGGAAUCUACUUUUUCGUGGGGGAUAACGUAGGGAAACUUACGCUAAUACCGCAUACGACCUACGGGUGAAAGCAGGGGAUCUUCGGACCUUGCGCGAUUGAAUGAGCCGAUGUCGGAUUAGCUAGUUGGCGGGGUAAAGGCCCACCAAGGCGGCGAUCCGUAGCUGGUCUGAGAGGAUGAUCAGCCACACUGGAGCUGAGACACGGUCCAGAGUCCUACGGGAGGCAGCAGUGGGGAAUAUGGGACAAUGGGCGCAAGCCUGAUCCAGCCAUACCGCGUGGGUGAAGAAGGCCUUCGGGUUGUAAAGCCCUUUUGUUGGGAAAGAAAAGCAGCAGGUUAAUACCCCGCUGUUCUGACGGUACCCAAAGAAUAAGCACCGGCUAACUUCGUG
This 492-nucleotide ribosomal RNA is filed under the name uncultured bacterium. RNAcentral's name for it is "partial 16S ribosomal RNA". It matches the Rfam family "Bacterial small subunit ribosomal RNA", at positions 29 to 507 of the family's 1533-position model. The record is from RNAcentral.